RNAcentral lists this transfer RNA (77 nucleotides) under Erysipelothrix sp. RNAcentral describes it as "tRNA-His". It matches the Rfam family "tRNA". Rfam says of the family: Transfer RNA (tRNA) molecules are approximately 80 nucleotides in length. Their secondary structure includes four short double-helical elements and three loops (D, anti-codon, and T loops). Further hydrogen bonds mediate the characteristic L-shaped molecular structure. tRNAs have two regions of fundamental functional importance: the anti-codon, which is responsible for specific mRNA codon recognition, and the 3' end, to which the tRNAs corresponding amino acid is attached (by aminoacyl-tRNA synthetases). tRNAs cope with the degeneracy of the genetic code in two manners: having more than one tRNA (with a specific anti-codon) for a particular amino acid; and 'wobble' base-pairing, i.e. permitting non-standard base-pairing at the 3rd anti-codon position. The record is from RNAcentral. Lineage: Bacteria; Bacillati; Bacillota; Erysipelotrichia; Erysipelotrichales; Erysipelotrichaceae.
GUGGCCGUGGCGAAGUUGGUUAACGCACCGGGUUGUGGCUCCGGCAUUCGCGGGUUCAAGUCCCGUCGGUCACCCCA